This 404-nucleotide ribosomal RNA is filed under the name Fusobacteriota bacterium. RNAcentral's name for it is "Fusobacteria bacterium partial 16S ribosomal RNA". It matches the Rfam family "Bacterial small subunit ribosomal RNA", at positions 355 to 776 of the family's 1533-position model. The record is from RNAcentral. Lineage: Bacteria; Fusobacteriati; Fusobacteriota.
UGGGGAAUAUUGCACAAUGGAGGGAACUCUGAUGCAGCGACGCCGCGUGAGUGAUGAAGGACUUCGUUUCGUAAAACUCUGUUCUAUGGGAAGAAAAGGACUGUACCAUAGGAGAAAGCUCCGGCUAAAUACGUGCCAGCAGCCGCGGUAAUACGUAUGGAGCGAGCGUUGUCCGGAAUUAUUGGGCGUAAAGGGUGCGCAGGCGGCUUUACAAGUUGGAUGUGAAAUAUUGUGGCUCAACCACAAACGUGCAUCCAAAACUGCAAAGCUUGAGUUAAGGAGAGGUAAGUGGAAUUCCGGGUGUAGCGGUAGAAUGAGUAGAUAUCAGGAGGAAUACCGGUGGCGAAGGCGACUUACUGGACUUAAACUGACGCUCAGGCACGAAAGCGUGGGGAGCAAACAGG